This 456-nucleotide ribosomal RNA is filed under the name Natrialba hulunbeirensis. RNAcentral's name for it is "bacterial SSU rRNA". It matches the Rfam family "Archaeal small subunit ribosomal RNA", at positions 121 to 576 of the family's 1478-position model. Lineage: Archaea; Methanobacteriati; Methanobacteriota; Halobacteria; Halobacteriales; Natrialbaceae. The record is from RNAcentral.
UCCAGACAACCUCGGGAAACUGAGGCUAAUCCGGAAUAGGGCUCUCAUCCUGGAGUGGAGAGAGCCUGAAACGCUCCGGCGCUAUAGGAUGUGGCUGCGGCCGAUUAGGUAGACGGUGGGGUAACGGCCCACCGUGCCAGUAAUCGGUACGGGUUGUGAGAGCAAGAGCCCGGAGACGGUAUCUGAGACAAGAUACCGGGCCCUACGGGGCGCAGCAGGCGCGAAACCUUUACACUGCACGCCAGUGCGAUAAGGGGACUCCAAGUGCGAGGGCAUAUAGUCCUCGCUUUUUGCGACCGUAAGGUGGUCGCGGAAUAAGUGCUGGGCAAGACCGGUGCCAGCCGCCGCGGUAAUACCGGCAGCACGAGUGAUGACCGCUGUUAUUGGGCCUAAAGCGUCCGUAGCUGGCCGCACAAGUCUAUCGGGAAAUCUCUCCGCUUAACGGAGAGGCGUCCG